CAGUUCGGUCCCUAUCUGUCGCGGGCGCAGGAAGUUUGAGGAGAGCUGUCCUUAGUACGAGAGGACCGGGAUGGACGCACCGCUGGUGCACCAGUUGUCACGCCAGUGGCACAGCUGGGUAGCUAUGUGCGGACGGGAUAAGCGCUGAAAGCAUCUAAGCGUGAAGCCCCCUCCAAGAUGAGACUUCCCACAGCGCAAGCUGGUAAGACC
RNAcentral lists this non-coding RNA (210 nucleotides) under Brevibacillus parabrevis. RNAcentral describes it as "partial 23S ribosomal RNA". It matches the Rfam family "Bacterial large subunit ribosomal RNA", at positions 2627 to 2835 of the family's 2925-position model. Lineage: Bacteria; Bacillati; Bacillota; Bacilli; Caryophanales; Paenibacillaceae. The record is from RNAcentral.